Molecule: non-coding RNA, 226 nt
Filed under: Staphylococcus aureus
Lineage: Bacteria; Bacillati; Bacillota; Bacilli; Caryophanales; Staphylococcaceae
Description: Staphylococcus sRNA 35 (srn_0335)
Rfam family: Staphylococcus sRNA 35 (srn_0335)
About the family: Other name: Srn_0335, SAOUHSCs258. Northern blot transcript confirmed in exponentially growing and stationary cells in three cultivation media.
Source: RNAcentral
UCGAAAUUCUCUGUGUUAGGGCCCCGCAACUUGCAUUGCCUGUAGAAUUUCUAUUCGAAAUUCUUUUUGUUGGGGCCCCACCCCAACUUACAUUGUCUGUAGAAUUUCUAUUCGAAAUUCUUUUUGUUGGGGCCCCUGUCUCUAAUUUAAAGUCUUGUUAUAAUCGCAUUUUUGUUUGGUCAAUGUCUGUCUAUAUAAUAUUGUAGAGCCUAAGUCGUGGUUAUGU